ACCUUAAUGCAGCCGCCCAGCAGGGCGCGGGUCCCCAGCCCCGGUAAAUGCAGAGGGAGGA
The submitters of this non-coding RNA (61 nucleotides) gave its source as unclassified sequences. The record is from Rfam.